This is a long non-coding RNA of Syngnathoides biaculeatus (alligator pipefish), 600 nucleotides long. RefSeq lists it as uncharacterized. NCBI's taxonomy places the organism in Eukaryota, Metazoa, Chordata, Actinopteri, Syngnathiformes, Syngnathidae. The record is from RefSeq and is a predicted model, not a curated record. The transcript is spliced from 3 exons.
CAUGUUUGUUGUUUGAGUCGUGGCUCGCUCCACGCAGGUGACGUCAUUUGCCCCGCCCCUCUCGGCCGGGGUCCAAAUCCCGGCCCCGCCUGUGCUGUGCGGGUUUUCCCCUCCGCUUUCCUCCCACGUCCCCAAAAACACGCAACAUUAAUUGCCCCGAGGUGUGCCGGGGAGCGCGGCGAUUGGCUGGCGACGACAGCUGGGACAGGCUGCGGCGCUCCCGCGGCCCUUGUGAGGAUACGCGGCUCAGAAAAGGGCGGCGUGGGUGUCCCCAAUAAAUUGCAUUCACUCCCAGCGGCGCGCUGAAAACUGGCGAGCAGGUCCGGUCCGGUCCGGUGCAGAACCUCCGUCACGGCGCCGGAGGAAGCACCUCCACCGUGUAGCUGACGCGCUUGGACCGCAGGACGCUGUAGGUGUUGUCGAAAGACAAGACGUCUGCGCCGUGAGGCGCCGGGCGGGCGUUAAGGCGAUGGCGGGCCCGCGUUAGCGUGUGUGUGUCGCACUCACACACGCCGACUUCGGGGCAGGCGACGACGUUGUCCUCGGGCACCAGAUGGGCGUUGCAGCGCUGCGCGGGAACGACGUCCAGCACGGCCGCCG